RNAcentral lists this long non-coding RNA (9525 nucleotides) under Equus caballus (horse). RNAcentral's name for it is "lncRNA (ENSECAG00000047828.1)". The record is from RNAcentral. Lineage: Eukaryota; Metazoa; Chordata; Mammalia; Perissodactyla; Equidae.
GUAGAAUUUCUGCUCUGGGUGUGCUACAUUUUCCUACAGCUGCCAGACCGAAAGGGCUGCCUUGUUUGCAAAGAGGCAGAGAGGCCCCAAAGCAUCUUGCUUAGAGCUCUUUGGGAAGCUAAGAAACAACCGGCUCUGGCCAGUGCUCGUACAGCCUAUGUGGAACAUCUGUUACCAAGGCCUGUGAAACGCAGUUUGUUGGCAGGCCUGAUCUGGCUGAAGUAGAACUUCUGCUCUGGGUGUGCUACAUUGGCCUAGAGCUGCCAGGCACAAAGGGCUGCAUUGUUUCCAAAGGGUGAGAGAGGCCCCAAACCAUCUUGCUUCCAGCUUUUUUUGGAGCUAAGAAACAACUGGCUCUGCCCAGUGUUCUUACAGCCUACCGGCAACAUCUCUUACAGAAGCCAGUGAAACGCAGUUUCUAGGCAGGCCUGAUCUGGCUGAAGAAAAACUUCUGCUCUGUGUGUGCUACAUUGGCAUAGAGAUGCCAGGCCCAAAGGGCUGCCUUGUUUGCAAAGGGGCAGAGAAGCCCUAAUGCAUCUUGCUUCCAGCUCUUUGGGAAGCUAAGAAACAACUGGCUCUGCCUAGUGCUCUGACAACCUCCCUGGAACAUCUGCUACCAAGGCCUGUGAAACGCAAUUUCUUGGAAGGCCUGUUCUGGCUGAAGCAGAACUUCUGCUCUGGGUGUGCUACAUUGGCAUACAGCUGCCAUGCCUAAAGUGCUGGCUUCUUUGCAAAGGCGUAGAGAGGCCACAAAGCAUCUUGCUUCCAGCUCUUUGGGAAGAUAAGAAACAAGUGGCUCUGCCCAGGGCUCUUACAACCUACCUGGAACAUCUGUUACCAAGGCCUUUGAAAUGCAGUUUCUUGGCAGGCCUGAUCUGGCUAAAGCAGACCUUCUGCUCUCGGUGUGCUACAUUGGCAUAGAGCUGCAAGGCACAAAGUCCUGCCUUUUGUCCUCAAGUGCAGACUGGCCCCACAGCGAAGGCCUUCCAGCUUGUUGGGCAGCUAAGAAACAACUUGCUCCGGACUGGUGUUUUACAGCCUAAAGGGAACGAGUCUUACAAAGGCCUGUGAAACGCAGUUUCAUCCCAGAACUUAUCUCACUGAAGUAGAACUUCUGCUCUGCCAUGUCCUACAUGGGCCUAGAGCUGCAAGGCACAAAGUCCUGCCUUGUUUCCACAAGGAGAGACAAGUCCCUCAGCGUCCAGCUUCCAGCUCUUUCGGCAGCUAAGAAAUAACUCGCUGUGCAUAGGGCUCUUACAGCCUACCCGGAACAUGUCUUACAAAGGCCUGUGAAAGGCAGUUUCUUCCCAGCCCUGAUCUGGCUGAAGUAGAACUUCUGCUCUGCCGGGUCCUACAUGGGCCUAGAGCUGCAUGGCACAGUGUCCUGCCUUGUUUCCACAAGGGGAGACUAGUCCCUCAGCGUCCAGCUUCCAGCUCUUUGGGCAGCUAAGAAACAACUCGCUCUUCAUUGGUGUUUUACAGCCUACAGGGAACAUGUCUUACAAAGGCCUGUGAAACACAGUUUCUUCUCAGGCCUGAUCUCGCUGAAGUAGAACUUCUGCUAUGCCGUGUCCUUCAUCGGCCUAGAGCUGCCAGGCACAAAGUCCGGCCUUGUGUCCUCAAGGGCAGACAGGCCCCACAGCGUGGGGCUUCCAGCUUUUGGGCAGCUAAGAAACAACUUGCUCAGCACUGGUGUUUUACAGCCUACCGGGAACAUGUCUUACAAAGGCCUCUGAAACGCUGAUUAUUCCCAGCACUGAUCUGCCUGAGGCAGAACUUCUGCUGUGCCGUGUCCUACAUGGCCCUAGAGCUGCAGGACACAAAGUCCUGCCUUGUUUCCACAAGGGGAGACAAGUCCCUCAGCGUCCAGCUUCCAGCUCUUUCGGCAGCUAAGAAACAACUCGCUCUGCAUAGGGCUCUUACAGCCUACCGGGAACAUGUCUUACAAAGACCUGUGAAAGGCAGUUUCUUCCCAGGGCUGAUCUCGCUGAAGUAGAACUUCUGCUCUGCCGUGUCCUACAUGGGCCCGGAUAUUCAAGGCACAAAGACCUGCCUUGUGUCCACAAGGGGAGUCUAGACCCUCAGCGUCCAGCUUCCAGCUCUUUGAUCAGCUAAGAAGCAACUUGCUCUGCACAGGGCUCUUACAGCCUACCAGGAACAUGUCUUACAAAGGCCUGUGAAACGCAGUUUCUUCUCAGGCCUGAUGUCGCUGAAGUAGAACUUCUGCUCUGCAGUGUCCUACAUGGGCCGAGAGCUGCCAGGCACAAAGUCCUGCCUUGUUUUCACAAGGGGAGACUAGUCCCUCACCGUCCAGCUUCCAGCUCUUUGGGCAGCUAAGUAACAACUCGCUCUGCAUUGGUGUUUUACAGCCUACUGGGAACAUGUCUUACAAAGGCCUGUGAAACGCAGUUACUUCUCAGGCCUGAUCUCGCUGACGUAGAACUUCUGCUCUGCCAUGUCCUACAUGGCCCUAGAGCUGCAAGGCACAAAGUCCUGCCUUGUUUCCCCAAGGGGAGACUAGUCACUCAGCAUCCAGCUUCCAGCUCUUUGGGCAGCUAAGAAACAACUUGCUCUGGACAGGGCUCUUCCAGCCUCCCUGGAACAUGUCUUACAAAGGCCUGUGAAACGCAGUUUCUUCCCAGGCCUGAUCUCGCUGCAGUAGAACUUCUGCUCUGCCGUGUCCUAAAUAGGCCUAGAGCUGCAAGGCACAAAGUCCUGCCUUGUUUCCACAAGGGGUGACAAGUCCCUUAGCGUCCAGCUUCCAGCUCCUUGGACAGCUAAGAAACAACUCACUUUGCAUAGGGCUCUUACAGCCUACCGGGAACAUGUCUUACAAAGGCCUGUGAAAUGCAGUUCCUUCUUAGGCCUGAUCUCGCUGAAGUAGAACUUCUGCUCUGCCGUGUCCUACAUGGGCUUAGAGCUGCAAGGCACAAAGUGCGGCCUUGUGUCCUCAAGGGCAGACAGGCCCCACAGCGUGGGGCUUGCAGCUCUUUGUGCUGCUAAGUAACAACUCGCUCUGCAUAGGGCUCUUACAGGGUACCGGGAACAUUUCUUACAAUGGCCUGUGAAACGCAGUUUCUUCCCAUGCCUUGUCUCGCUGAAGUAGAACUUCUGCUAUGCCAUGUCCUACAUCGGCCUAGAGCUGCAAGGCACAAAGUCCUGCCUUGUGUCCUCAAGGGCAGACAUGCCCCACAGCUUGGGACUUCCAGCUCUUUGGGCAGCUAAGAAACAACUUGCUCUGCACUGGAGGUUUGCAGCCUACUGGGAUCGAGUCUUACAAAGGCUUGUGAAGCGCAGUUUCUUCCCAGGGCUGAUCUCGCUGACGUAGAACUUCUGCUCUGCUGUGUCCGACAUGGCCCUAGACCUUCAAGGCACAAAGUCCUGCCUUGUUUCCACAAGGGGAGACUAGUCCGUCAGUGUCCAGCUUCCAGCUCUUUGGGCAGCUAAGAAACAACUUGCUCUGCACGGGGCUCUUUCAUUCUACCUGGAACAUGUCUUACAAAGGCCUGUGAAACGCAGUUUCUUCUCAGGCCUGAUCUCUCUGAAGUAGAACUUCUGCUAUGCCGUGUCCUUCAUCGGCCUAGAGCUGCAAGGCACAAAGUCCUGCCUUGUGUCCUCAAGGGCAGUUAGGCCCCACAGCGUGGGGCUUCCAGCACUUUGGGCAGCUAAGAAACAACUUCCUCUGCACUAGUGUUUUACAGCCUACAGGGAACGAGUGUUACAAAGGCCUGUGAAACGCAGUUUCUUCCCAGGCCUGAUCUCGCUGAAGUAGAACUUCUGCUCUGCCGUGUCCUACAUGUCCCUAGAGCUGCAAGGGACAAAGUCCUGCCUUGUUUCCACAAGGGGAGACUAGUCGCUCAGCGUCCAGCUUCCAGCUCUUUCGGCAGCUAAGAAACAACUUGCUCUGCACAGGGCUCUUCCAUCCUCCCUGGAACAUGUCUUACAAAGGCCUGUGAAAGGCAGUUUCUUCCCAGGCCUGAUCCUGCUGAAGUAGAACUUCUGCUCUGCCGUGUCCUACAUGGGCCUAGAGCUGCAAGGCACAAAAUCCUGCCUUGUUUCCAAAAGGGGAGACAAGUCCCUCAUCGUCCAGCUUGCAGCUCUUUGUGCAGCUAGGAAACAACUCGCUCUGCAUUGGUGUUUUACAGCCCACCGGGAACAUGUCUUACAAAGGCCUGUGAAACGCAGUUUCUUCCCAGGCCUGAUCCCGCUGAAGUGGAACUUCUGCUAUGCUGUGUCCUGCAUCGGCCUAGAGAUGCAAGGCACAAAGUCCUGCCUUGUGUCCUCAAGGGCAGACAGGCCCCACAGCGUGGGGCUUCCAGCUUUUUGGGCAGCUAAGAAACAACUUGCUCCGCACUGGUCUUUUACAGCCUACAGGGAACGUGUCUUACAAAGGCCUGUGAAACGCAGUUUCUUCCCAGGGCUGAUCUCGCUGAAUUAGAACUUCUUCUCUGCCGUGUCCUACAUGGGCCUGGAGCUGCAAGGCACAAAGUCCUGCUUUGUUUCCACUAGGGGAGACAAGUCCCUCAGCGUCCAGCUUCCAGCUCUUUCGGCAGCUAAGAAACAACUCGCUCUGCAUAGGGCUAUACAGCCUACCGGGAACAUGUCUUACAAAGGCCUGUGAAAGGCAGUUUCUUCCCAGCCCUGAUCUACCUGAAGUAGAACUUCUGCUGUGCCGUGUCCUACAGGGCCCUAGAGCUGCAAGGCACAAAGUCCUGCCUUGUUUUCCAAGGGGAGACUAGUCCCUCAGUGUGCAGCUUCCAGCUCUUUGGGCAGCUAAGAAACAAUUUGCUCUGCACAGAUCUCUUCCAUCCUCCCUGGAACAUGUCUUACAAAGGCCUGUGAAACGCAAUUUCUUGGAAGGCCUGAUCUUUCUGAAGCAGAACUUCUGCUCUGAGUGUGCUACCUUGGCAUAGAGCUGCCAGGCCCAAAGCGCUGGCUUCCAUGCAAAGGGGUAGAGAGGCCCCAAAGCAUCUUGCUUCCAGCUCUUUGGGAAGCUAAGAAACUACUGGCUCUGCCCAGUGCUCUUACAACCUACCUGGAACAUCUGUUACCAAGGCCUGUGAAAUGCAGUCUCUUGACAGGCCUGAUCUGGCUGAAGCAGACCUUCUGCUCUGGGUGUGCUACAUUGGCAUAGAGCUGCCAGGCCCAAAGUGCUGGCUUCUUUUCAAAGGGGUAGAGAGGCCCCAAAGCAUCUUGCUUCCAGCUCUUUGGGAAGCUAAGAAACUACUGGCUCUGCCCAGUGCUCUUACAACCUACCUGGAACAUCUGUUACCAAGGCCUGUGAAAUGCAGUCUCUUGACAGGCCUGAUCUGGCUGAAGCAGACCUUCUGCUCUGGGUGUGCUACAUUGGCAUAGAGCUGCCAGGCCCAAAGUGCUGGCUUCUUUUCAAAGGGGUAGAGAGGCCCCAAAGCAUCUUGCUUCCAGCUCUUUGGGAAGCUAAGAAACUACUGGCCCUGCCCAGUGCUCUUACAACCUACCUGGAACAUCUGUUACCAAGGCCUGUGAAAUGCAGUUUCUUGACAGGCCUGAUCUGGCUGAAGCAGACCUUCUGCUCUGGGUGUGCUACAUUGGCAUAGAGCUGCCAGGCCCAAUGGGUUGCCUUGUUUCCAAAGGGGGAGAGAGGCCCCAUACAUCUUGCUUCCAGCUCUUUGGGAAGCUAAGGAACAACUGACACUGAACAAUGCUACCACAGCAUACCGGGAACAUCACUUACAAAGGCCUGUGAAACGCAGUUUCUUGCCAGGCCUGAUCUUACUGAAGUAGAAUUUCUGCUCUGGGUGUGCUAAAUUUGCCUAGAGCUGCCAGGCCGAAAGGGCUGCCUUUUUUGCAAAUUGGCAGAGAGGCCCCACAGCGUGGGGCUUCGAGCUUUUUGGGCAGCUAAGAAAGAACUUGCUCCGCACUGGUGUUUUACAGCCUACAGGGAACGAAUCUUACAAAGGCCUGUGAAACGCAGUUUCUUCCCAGGCAUGAUCUCGCUGAAGUAGAACUUCUGCUCUGCCGUGUCCUACAUGGCCCUAGAGAUGCAAGGCACAAAGUCCUGCCUUGUUUCCCCAAGGGGAGACAAGUCCCUCAGCGUCCAGCUUCCAGCUCUUUCGGCAGCUAAGAAACAACUCGCUCUGCAUAGGGCUCUUACAGACCACCGGGAACAUGUCUUAAAAAGGCCUGUGAAAAGCGGUUUCUUCCCAGCCCUGAUCUGUCUGAAGUAGAACUUCUGAUCUGCCGUGUCCUACAUGGCACUAGAGCUGCAAGGCACAAAGUCCUGCCUUGCUUCCCCAAGGGGAGACUAGUCCCUCAGCGUCCAGCUUCCAGCUCUUUGGGCAGCUAGGAAAAAACUCGCUAUGCAUUGGUGUUGUACAGCCUACCGGGAACAUACCUUACAAAGGCCUGUGUAACGCAGUUUCUUCCCAGGUCUGAUCUCGCUGAAGUAGAACUUCUGCUCUGCCGUGUCCUACAUGGGCCUAGAGCUGCAAGGCACAAACUCCUGUCUUGUGUCCUCAAGGGCAGACAGGCCCCACAGCAUGGGGCUUCCAGAUCUUUGGGCAGCUGAGAAGCAACUUGCUCUGCACAGGAGUUUUACAGCCUACAGGGAACGAGUCUUACAAAGGCCUGUGAAACGCAGUUUCUUUGUAGGCCUGAUCUGGCUGAAGUAGAACUUCUGCUCUGGGUGUGCUACAUUGACCUAGAGGUGCAAGGCACAAAGUGCUGUCUUUUUUCCAAAGGGCGAGUUGGGCCCCAAAGCAUCUUGCUUCCAGCUCUUUGGGAAUCUAAGAAACAACUCGCUCAGCACAGUGCUCUUACAGCCAAACGGGAACAUCUCUUACAAAGGCCUGUGAAAUGCAGUUUCUUCCCAGUCCUGAUCUCGCUGUAGUAGAAUUUCUGCUCUGCCAUGUCCUACAUGGCCCUAGAGCUGCAGCGCACAAAGUCCUUCCUUGUUUCCCGAAGGGGAGACUAGUCCUUCAGCGUCCAGGUUCCAGCUCUUUGGGCAGCUAAGAAACAACUCGCUCUGCAUAGGGCUCUUACAGCCUACCGGAAACAUGUCUUACAAAAGGCCUGUGAAAGGCAGUUUCUUCCCAGCCCUGAUGUGGCUGAAGUAGUACUUCUGCUCUGCCGUGUCCUACAUGGCCCUAGAGUUGCAAGGCACAAAGUCCUGCCUUGUUUUCCCAAGGGAAGACUAGUCCCUCAGUGUCAAGCUGCCAGCUAUUUGGGCAGCUGAGAAGCAACUUGCUCUCCACAGGUCUUUUACAGCCUACAGGGAACGAGUCUUACAAAGGCCUGUGAAACGCGGGUUCUUUGCAGGCCUCAUCUGGCUGAAGUAGAACUUCUGCUCUGGGAGUGCUACAUUGCCCUAGAGCUGCAAGGCACAAAGUGCUGUCUUGUUUCCAAAGGGCGAGUUGGGCCCCAAAGCAUCUUGCUUCCAGUUCUUUGGGAAGCUAAGAAACAACUCGCUCUGCACACCUCUCUUACAGCCAACCGGGAACAUCUCUUACAAAGGCCUGUGAAACGCAGUUUCUUUGCAGGCCUGAUCUGGAUGAAGUAGAACAUCUGCUCUGCGUGUGCUCCAUUGCCCUAGAGCUGAAAGGCACAACGUGCAGGCUUCUUUCCAAAGGGCGAGUUGGGCCCCAAAGCAUCUUGCUUUCAGCUCUUUGGGAAGCUAAGAAACAACUCUCUCUGCCCAGUGCUCUUACAGCCUACCGGCAACAUCUCUUACAUAGGCCUGUGAAAUGCAGUAUCUUUGCAGUCCUGAUGUGGCUGAAGUGGAAAUUCUGCUGUGCGUGUGCUCCAUUGCCCUAGAGCUGAAAGGCACAACGUGCAGGCUUCUUUCCCAAGGGCGAGUUGGGCCCCAAAGCAUCUUGCUUCCAGCUCUUUGGGAAGCUAAGAAACAACUCGCUCUGCACAAUGCUCUUACAGCCUACCGGGAACAUCUCUUACAAAGGCCUGUGAAACGCAGUUUCUUUGCAGGCCUCAUCUGGCUGAAGUAGAACUUCUGCUCUGGGUGUGCUCCAUUGCCAAGAGCUGAAAGGCACAACGUGCAGGCUUCUUUCCAAAGGGCGAGUUGGGCCCCAAAGCAUCUUGCUUCCAGCUCUUCGGGAAGCUAAGAAACAACUCGCUCUGCACAGUGCUCUUACAGCCUAUCGGGAACGUCUCUUACAAAGGCCUGUGAAACGCACUUUCUUUGCAGGCCUGAUCUGGCUGAAGUAGAACUUCUGCUCAGGGUGUGCUCCAUUGCCCUAGAGCUGAAAGGCAUAACGUGCAUUCUCCUUUCCAAAGGGCGAGUUGGGCCCCAAAGCAUCUUGCUUCCAGCUCUUUGGGAAGCUAAGAAACAACUGGCUCUGCACAGUGCUCUUACAGCCUACCGGGAACAUCUCUUACAAAGGCCUGUGAAACGCAGUUUCUUUGCAGGCCUGAUGUGGCUGAAGUAGAACUUCUGCUCUGGGUGAGCUACAUUGCCCUAGAGCUGAAAGGCACAACGUGCAGGCUUCUUUCCAAAGGGCGAGUUGGGCCCCAAAGCAUCUUGCUUCCAGCUCUUUGGGAAGCUAAGAAACAACUCGCUCUGCACAGUUCUCUUAAAGCCUACCGGGAACAUCUCUUACAAAGGCCUGUGAAACGUAGUUUCUUUGCAGGCCUGAUGUGGCUGAAGUUGAACUUCUGCUCAGGGUGUGCUCCAUUGCCCUAGAGCUGAAAGGCAUAACGUGCAGGCUUCUUUCCAAUGGUCCAGUUGGGCCCCAAAGCAUCUUGCUUCCAGGUCUUUGGGAAGCUAAGAAACAACUCGCUGUGCACAGUGCUCUUACAGCCUACCGGGAACAUCUCUUACAAAGGCCUGUGAAACACAGUUUCUUUGAAGGCCUGAUCCGGUUCAAGUAGAACUUCUGCUCUGGGUGUGCUCCACUGCCCUAGAACUAAAAGGCACAACGUGAAGGCUUCUUUCCAAAGGGCGAGUUGGGCCCCAAAGCAUCUUGCUUCCAGCUCUUUGGGAAGCUAAGAAACAACUCGCUGUGCACAGUGCUCUUACAGCCUACCGGGAACAUCUCUUACAAAGGCCUGUGAAACGCAGUUUCUUUGCAGGCCUCAUCUGGCUGAAGUAGAACUUCUGCUCUGGGUGUGCUCCAUUGCCCUAGAGCUGAAAGGCACAACGUGCAGGCUUCUUUCCAAAGGGCGAGUUGGGCCCCAAAGCAUCUUGCUUCCAGCUCUUUGGGAAGCUAAGAAACAACUCGCUCUGCACAGUGCUCUUACAGCCUACCGGGAACAUCUCUUACAAAGGCCUGUGAAACGCAGUUUCUUUGCAGGCCUGAUCUGGCUGAAGUAGAACUUCUGCUCUGCGUGUGCUCCAUUGCCCUAGAGCUGAAAGGCACAACGUGCAGGCUUCUUUCCAAAGGGCGAGUUGGGCCCCAAAGCAUCUUGCUUCCAGCUCUUUCGGAAGCUAAGAAACAACUCGCUCUGCACAGUGCUCUUACAGCCUACCGGGAACAUCUCUUCCAAAGGCCUGUGAAACGCAGUUUCUUUGCAGGCCUGAUCUGGCUGAAGUAG